AUGAACGCUGGCGGCGUGUCUAAGGCAUGCAAGUUGAACGGGCCUCGCAAGAGGUCAGUGGCAAACGGGUGCGUAACACAUUGGUAACCUACCUCGAAGUCGUGAAUAAUCUGUCGAAAGGCAGACUAAUACACGAUGGCCAAGAAAUGACGCAGGUCAUUUCUUGUAAAGAUUUAUCGCUUCGAGAGGGGCCUAUGCCCUAUCAGCUAGUUGGUGAGGUAAUGGCUCACCAAGGCUUUGACGGGUAGGGGGCGUAAGAGCGCGACCCCCCUCACUGGGACUGAGACACUGCCCAGACUCCUACGGGAGGCUGCAGUCGAGAAUAUUCCUCAAUGCACGAAAGUGUGAAGGAGCGACGCCGCGUGCCAGAUGAAGCCCUUCGGGGUGUAAAUGGCUUUUUUCAGGGAAGAAUUCUGACGGUACCUGAAGAAUAAGUGGUUGCUAACUCUGU
This 451-nucleotide ribosomal RNA is filed under the name uncultured bacterium. RNAcentral describes it as "bacterial SSU rRNA". It matches the Rfam family "Bacterial small subunit ribosomal RNA", at positions 29 to 506 of the family's 1533-position model. The record is from RNAcentral.